ACCUACUGCUUUUGAACUUCUUACUCAAUCGUCUGUGUGUUCUUCUCUUUUCCUUCCGUUUAUCGCCUGCAGGGCGGUGGUUGAUGAUCAUACAUUGGUGGUUGUGGCAUUUGAGCCAAUUCCUUGCAAAUUAGAGUCAUCAAAUUGGCUUGUUGACAUUGCAUUUUGAGAACCUCUGCUUGAGCCUUGGCUAACUCUCCUUGUAG
This 206-nucleotide unclassified non-coding RNA is filed under the name Hevea brasiliensis (rubber tree). Lineage: Eukaryota; Viridiplantae; Streptophyta; Magnoliopsida; Malpighiales; Euphorbiaceae. The record is from RNAcentral.